GGGUAAGGAGCCCUCAUAGGCUGACCUUGAAGGAGACCAGCAUCCCAGACUCACCUAGGGCCCAGCCAGAUGGGAGUGUGAUCAUCACAGCCUCGUCACAUGCUUAGUCCCGUGCCUGCUCUGGGAUUCUGACAGCCUGUGACAGCUGCAGGGGGCCUGAAGCUUAAUGCGCAAGCAGGAUUUGGGCAGCUUGUUUUUCUUCCCUCAAGAAUCUGCUUGGAGAUAAUAAAGAUCAACGCCGUUCCUCGUAAC
Long non-coding RNA from Lemur catta (Ring-tailed lemur), 252 nucleotides. RefSeq lists it as uncharacterized. Lineage: Eukaryota; Metazoa; Chordata; Mammalia; Primates; Lemuridae. The transcript is spliced from 3 exons. The record is from RefSeq and is a predicted model, not a curated record.